AUAUUGAUCGCUAGAUGUCACGAGUAUUGUUGAUAGGGGAAAAAUGACCAAUCGAGGUGCUAGCAAACUGGAGUUGCUGCAGCUAAUGGCCAGAGCUCCCAGUUAGCUAAAAUGCCAGUUGUGGGGGCAUGUUCUGAAGAGUGUCUUUGUGCCUCUUAACAGACACAAAAUGCAAUUAAAAUGUCUUUCAAC
Etheostoma cragini (Arkansas darter) is the source of this 192-nucleotide long non-coding RNA. RefSeq lists it as uncharacterized. The transcript has 3 exons. NCBI's taxonomy places the organism in Eukaryota, Metazoa, Chordata, Actinopteri, Perciformes, Percidae. The record is from RefSeq and is a predicted model, not a curated record.